GAAGCUGGCUAGACAGUCGCCGCUCACGUAAGUGAGGGGAGGAAAGUCCGGGCUGCAUAGAGCGGGAUGACGGUUAACGGCCGUCCGCCAUAAGUCGUUAGACUGAAAAGUCGAAUGACAAAAGCGAGGAAUAGGGCCACAGAGACGAGUCGGUUCGACCUGCGAGCGCGCUUUUUAGCGAGCUUGCGUCGAAACGGGUGAAACGCGGUAACCUCCAUUCGCAGCAAGACCAAAUAGGCUGGUAUUGACGUGGCUCGCGUUGCCAGCGGGUAGGUUGCUUGAGCGCAUGAGUAAUUGUGCGCCUAGAUGAAUGACUGUUACGUGCAGCAAUGCACGACAGAACCCGGCUUAUCGGCCAGCUUCAACU
This 367-nucleotide RNase P RNA is filed under the name Methylotenera sp. 17-45-7. Its description in RNAcentral is "RNase P RNA component class A". It matches the Rfam family "Bacterial RNase P class A". From Rfam's summary of the family: Ribonuclease P (RNase P) is a ubiquitous endoribonuclease, found in archaea, bacteria and eukarya as well as chloroplasts and mitochondria. Its best characterised activity is the generation of mature 5'-ends of tRNAs by cleaving the 5'-leader elements of precursor-tRNAs. Cellular RNase Ps are ribonucleoproteins. RNAcentral also lists the same sequence under 4 other names. Lineage: Bacteria; Pseudomonadati; Pseudomonadota; Betaproteobacteria; Nitrosomonadales; Methylophilaceae. The record is from RNAcentral.